This 442-nucleotide ribosomal RNA is filed under the name uncultured bacterium. Its description in RNAcentral is "partial 16S ribosomal RNA". It matches the Rfam family "Bacterial small subunit ribosomal RNA", at positions 338 to 795 of the family's 1533-position model. The record is from RNAcentral.
CCUACGGGCGGCAGCAGUGGGGAAUAUUGGGCAAUGGGCGCAAGCCUGACCCAGCAACGCCGCGUGAAGGAAGAAGGCUUUCGGGUUGUAAACUUCUUUUGACAGGGAAGAGUAGAAGACGGUACCUGUCGAAUAAGCCACGGCUAACUACGUGCCAGCAGCCGCGGUAAUACGUAGGUGGCAGGCGUUGUCCGGAUUUACUGGGUGUAAAGGGAGUGUAGGCGGGUUGACAAGUCAGUUGUGAAAGCCUGCGGCUUAACCGCAGAACUGCAUUUGAAACUGUUGAUCUUGAGUACUGGAGAGGCAGACGGAAUUCCUAGUGUAGCGGUGAAAUGCGUAGAUAUUAGGAGGAACACCAGUGGCGAAGGCAGUCUGCUGGACAGCAACUGACGGUGAGGCGCGAAAGCGUGGGGAGCAAACAGGAUUAGAUACCCGAGUAGUC